This 1968-nucleotide ribosomal RNA is filed under the name wastewater metagenome. RNAcentral describes it as "bacterial LSU rRNA". It matches the Rfam family "Bacterial large subunit ribosomal RNA", at positions 1 to 1990 of the family's 2925-position model. The record is from RNAcentral.
AUAAGCAAAAUAAGGGCGUAUGGGGGAUGCCUAGGCUCUCAGAGGCGAUGAAAGGCGUGAUAAGCUGCGAAAAGUUACGGGGAUUGGCACACACGAUACGAUCCGUAAAUACCUGAAUGGGGCAACCCACUAUGUUGAAGACAUAGUACACCGAUAGGUGGGCAAACCCGCUGAACUGAAACAUCUAAGUAGGCGGAGGAGAAGAAAACAAAAGUGAUUCCGUAAGUAGUGGCGAGCGAACGCGGAUUAGCCCAAACCAAUGUUGUUACGGCAAUGUUGGGGUUGUAGGACCACGACAUUUCUUGCACAAAGAACUAGAAUCUACUGGAAAGUAGGACCAAAGAGGGUGAUAGUCCCGUAUAGGUAAUGAGUGUAAAGGAUAGUGGUAUCCUGAGUAGGGCGGGGCACGUGAAACCCUGUCUGAAUUUGGCGGGACCAUCCGCUAAGGCUAAAUACUCCUGAGAGACCGAUAGUGAACCAGUACCGUGAGGGAAAGGUGAAAAGAACCGUGAAUAACGGAGUGAAAUAGAUCCUGAAACCAUACGCUUACAAGCGGUCGGAGCCCUUUAGUGGGGUGACGGCGUGCCUUUUGCAUAAUGAGCCUACGAGUUAACGUUGCUGGCAAGGAUAAGUGGUUAAGUCACGGAUCCGUAGCGAAAGCGAGUCUGAAUAGGGCGCUUUAGUCAGUAGUGUUAGACGCGAAACCGUGUGAUCUACCCAUGGGCAGGAUGAAGCUGUGGUAACACAUAGUGGAGGUCCGAACCGGUUGACGUUGAAAAGUCUUCGGAUGACCUGUGGGUAGGGGUGAAAGGCCAAUCAAACUCGGAAAUAGCUCGUACUCCCCGAAAUGCAUUUAGGUGCAGCGCUGGAUUUAAGUUAUAUAGAGGUAGAGCUACUGAUUGGAUGCGGGGGCUUCACCGCCUACCAAUUCCUGACAAACUCCGAAUGCUAUAUAAUGUUUACCAGCAGUGAGGGCUUGGGUGCUAAGGUCCAAGUCCGAGAGGGAAAGAACCCAGACCAUCAGCUAAGGUCCCCAAAUCUAUACUAAGUUGAAAGAACGAGGUUUGUCUGCCCAGACAGCUAGGAUGUUGGCUUGGAAGCAGCCAUUCAUUUAAAGAGUGCGUAACAGCUCACUAGUCGAGCGGACGAGCAUGGAUAAUAAUCGGGCAUAAGUAUAGUACCGAAGCUAUGGAUUUGUAUUAUAUACAAGUGGUAGGGGAGCAUUCUAACAGGGUAGAAGGUGUAUCGUAAGGUAUGCUGGACUGGUUAGAAAAGAAAAUGUAGGCAUAAGUAACGAUAAUGCGGGCGAGAAACCCGCACACCGAAAGACUAAGGUUUCCACAGCUAUGCUAAUCAGCUGUGGGUUAGUCGGGACCUAAGGCGAACCCGAAAGGGACAGUCGAUGGACAACGGGUUAAUAUUCCCGUACUACUUAUUACUGUGAUGGGGUGACGGAGUGAUGAAAGCGCCGCGAACUGACGGAAUAGUUCGUUGAAGUACCUACCUAUAAGAUGCGCAGGCAAAUCCACGCGUCUUGGGGAAAUACGAUAGUACUCGGAGACUUCGGUCAAAGAGAUAGUGCGCCUAAGGGCUUCCAAGAAAAACCUCUAAACUUCAGGUAAUAAGUACCCGUACCGCAAACCGACACAGGUAGUCGAGGAGAGAAUCCUAAGGUGCUCGAGAGAUUCAUGGCUAAGGAAUUAGGCAAAAUAGACCCGUAACUUCGGGAGAAGGGUCGCCAGCAGCAAUGCUGGCCGCAGUGAAGAGGUCCAGGCGACUGUUUAUCAAAAACACAGGGCUCUGCAAAAUCGUAAGAUGAAGUAUAGGGCCUGACACCUGCCCGGUGCUGGAAGGUUAAGAGGAGAUGUUAUCUUCGGAGAAGCAUUGAAUUGAAGCCCCAGUAAACGGCGGCCGUAACUAUAACGGUCCUAAGGUAGCGAAAUUCCUUGUCGGGUAAGUUCCGACCUG